This 20-nucleotide small nuclear RNA is filed under the name Arabidopsis thaliana (thale cress). RNAcentral describes it as "snRNA_16353". The record is from RNAcentral. Lineage: Eukaryota; Viridiplantae; Streptophyta; Magnoliopsida; Brassicales; Brassicaceae.
AUCGGGCGGUAAAUUCCGUC